AGAUGAGCAGGCCUUAAAUGCUAAGCUCAGACACUGGGCUUGCUAGGCCAGGAAACCCCCAGCCAAGGAUGGGUUCUAACUGAUUUCUGUGUCCCGAAUAGAGCCUGACACCAGGCGAUUUGCCACGAGAAGGACAUGGCCUGGUGGCUACUGCACCUUCAGCUUCCGCACACAUAAAUACAUAUGGAACACACCGGACCUAGUCUCCAGCCUGGAGCCAUGCCUACAGCAUGGCUGAAGCAUGAAGCAGGGCUAACUGGCCACAUUCAACCUCCAUCAGCUGAAGCACAAUACACCUGCAAACCUAUGAGUCUGAGAAUAAAGGCUUGUUAUUGAAAGCCA
Molecule: long non-coding RNA, 342 nt
Filed under: Homo sapiens (human)
Lineage: Eukaryota; Metazoa; Chordata; Mammalia; Primates; Hominidae
Description: HSALNT0298416
Source: RNAcentral